AUCCAGAUGAUGGGUCCACAAUAGGACGAAAUGCGAGUCCUGGCUGGAU
Non-coding RNA from Trichobilharzia regenti, 49 nucleotides. The record is from Rfam. Lineage: Eukaryota; Metazoa; Platyhelminthes; Trematoda; Strigeidida; Schistosomatidae.